GGGGAUCCUAAUGACUCGUAAAGACACUUAAUAAGUCUUUACGAGAUUCAUAAUCACUGAUAGCAUGAAGGAUAGAAGAGUGCAGGGAAUCACUAUGACUCAACUGAACAAGUCAUAAUCAAUCCCUACAACUUCUAGUCAGGAAUCGUAAUGACUGAGGAAGCUUACGCAUAAUAUGAAAAGUUUGUGUUCAGCAUACAAGUGUUGGUAGCGAGUCGUGGCCUAACCCUACGACUAAUUAGAAGGACUCAUAAUAUAGCCAGAAACUAUUGAUCUAAUCUCUAUCUACAUUAUGACUUGGUCAAACGAAAUCUAUUUAAUAUAUAUAUAAUCCGCGCACCCCCC
Molecule: long non-coding RNA, 345 nt
Filed under: Capsicum annuum
Lineage: Eukaryota; Viridiplantae; Streptophyta; Magnoliopsida; Solanales; Solanaceae
Description: long non-coding RNA (CANN_LNC011242)
Source: RNAcentral